UACGGAGGGUGCAAGCGUUAAUCGGAAUUACUGGGCGUAAAGUGUGCGCAGGCGGCCGAGCAAGUCGAGUGUGAAAGCCCCGGGCUUAACCUGGGAACUGCGCUCGAAACUACUUGGCUUGAGUGUGGCAGAGGGAGGUGGAAUUCCACGUGUAGCGGUGAAAUGCGUAGAGAUGUGGAGGAACACCGAUGGCGAAGGCAGCCUCCUGGGCCAACACUGACGCUCAUGCACGAAAGCGUGGGGAGCAAACAGG
This 253-nucleotide ribosomal RNA is filed under the name uncultured bacterium. Its description in RNAcentral is "partial 16S ribosomal RNA". It matches the Rfam family "Bacterial small subunit ribosomal RNA", at positions 524 to 776 of the family's 1533-position model. The record is from RNAcentral.